GCCUUAGUGGUGUAAUGGUAGCACAUUCGGAGCGUAUUCGAGAGGUACAGGUUCGAGUCCCGGCGAGGGCA
Molecule: transfer RNA, 71 nt
Filed under: Stegodyphus mimosarum
Lineage: Eukaryota; Metazoa; Arthropoda; Arachnida; Araneae; Eresidae
Rfam family: tRNA
About the family: Transfer RNA (tRNA) molecules are approximately 80 nucleotides in length.
Source: Rfam by way of RNAcentral